UGGGGAAUAUUGGACAAUGGGCGCAAGCCUGAUCCAGCCAUGCCGCGUGAGAGAUGAAGGCCUUAGGGUUGUAAAGCUCUUUCAGUGGGGACGAUAAUGACGGUACCCACAGAAGAAGCCCCGGCUAACUUCGUGCCAGCAGCCGCGGUAAUACGAAGGGGGCUAGCGUUGUUCGGAUUUACUGGGCGUAAAGCGCACGUAGGCGGAUCGUUAAGUCGGGGGUGAAAUCCUGGAGCUCAACUCCAGAACUGCCUUCGAUACUGGCGAUCUUGAGUCCGGAAGAGGUGAGUGGAACUCCUAGUGUAGAGGUGGAAUUCGUAGAUAUUAGGAAGAACACCAGUGGCGAAGGCGGCUCACUGGUCCGGUACUGACGCUGAGGUGCGAAAGCGUGGGGAGCAAACAGGAUUGGAUACCCUGGUAGUCCACGCCGUAAACUAUGAGAGCUAGCCGUUGGAGGAUUUAUCCUUCAGUGGCGCAGCUAACGCAUUAAGCUCUCCGCCUGGGGAGUACGGUCGCAAGAUU
This 522-nucleotide ribosomal RNA is filed under the name uncultured bacterium. RNAcentral describes it as "bacterial SSU rRNA". It matches the Rfam family "Bacterial small subunit ribosomal RNA", at positions 355 to 895 of the family's 1533-position model. The record is from RNAcentral.